Molecule: unclassified non-coding RNA, 312 nt
Filed under: Hevea brasiliensis (rubber tree)
Lineage: Eukaryota; Viridiplantae; Streptophyta; Magnoliopsida; Malpighiales; Euphorbiaceae
Source: RNAcentral
CUGAAUCUUACUUUAAGAACUGAAAAGAUAAUAACAAGUUAAAAUAAAAAAAAAAUUAUAAAUACACUAAAUUUGGUUUAUGUAUUGAACCAAAUUAAUACAAAAGUUGUGUGUUGUGAUCUUAUGACAAAUCUGGAAUUGUUCUUCUCACAUAGAUAUCGUAUUGAGCAUAUUCUGAUUAAAACACAAUCGAUCGAGAUGCAUUGUAUAUCACACAGAGAACACAGAUUCGAAAUGCACAAGCUAGCAUAAGUACCAAGCAAAUACCCAACAAAAAGAAUCGCAUCAGCCACAAUAAUUGGUAAUUUCAAG